Molecule: long non-coding RNA, 301 nt
Organism: Tachyglossus aculeatus (Australian echidna)
Lineage: Eukaryota; Metazoa; Chordata; Mammalia; Monotremata; Tachyglossidae
Exons: 4
Source: RefSeq, a predicted model, not a curated record
UCCAGUAUUGGAAUAAUGAGGGGGUUUGGAUCCAGAUGAUACAACAGGUGGAUGUCGAAGAAGUCCUGAUGAGCAGACAAGAAGGACCAACUUAUUUCUCCUCCCAGAAGCUUCUCACCACACUUCCUGGUUGUGAGGACCGUUGCCCCUUCAGGGAGGACCCAGAGCAGCUGAUCCCCAUGGAGAUGAGGAAUCAAGAGCUGAGCUUCCAUCCCUAAGGGAAGCUUCUCGCUGUGGCUGGGGAAGUUCUAAAGGACACUUGGCUCCUGCAAUCCAUCAACAGUGUGUCCAGUGGGGGAAG